CGUGAGGGGAGAGCCAGAAGUAAUCCCAGAUGUGUUAGGAAUUCUGCAGAUGCUGGAAAUUCAAGCAACACACAUCAAAGUUGCUGGUGAACGCAGCAGGCCAGGCAGCAACUCUAGGAAGAGGACUCCACCUCCCACUCCUGCCAAAGCAGACUGAAUGAUCAUUACAUCCACCCCUCCACCCCUGACCCAG
Long non-coding RNA from Mobula hypostoma (lesser devil ray), 193 nucleotides. RefSeq lists it as uncharacterized. The record is from RefSeq and is a predicted model, not a curated record. The transcript is spliced from 3 exons. NCBI's taxonomy places the organism in Eukaryota, Metazoa, Chordata, Chondrichthyes, Myliobatiformes, Myliobatidae.